AUCUACAACUAAAAAUUAAAAUUAAAAAAUGAGGUUCUCCCUUCCAUCUUUCCUUCCCUCCUCCCUCCCUUCUUUUCUCUCCUCUCUCCUUCCCCCAUCCUUCUUUCUUUUCUCUUCCUUUUCCCCUUCCCCCACCUCUGAGCCAGCUGCCAGCUCUACUGUGCCCAGGUGUUCGAAACCUCGAAACCUCUGUGGGUAUCCACAGAACUGGGUAGUUGCCCAAGGCCAGGAGGUUCCCUAGAAAGGCCCCAGCCUCUCUUUCUUGCCCAGAAUAAGCAGGUGCUGGGAGGGUGGUGUUGGGGGGGCUGUUUAAUUACCCACUGCUUCCCGUCCCCCUCCAGGUUUGCUCACCCACUGAGGUCACGACUCAGCCCUGUCCCUGGCACUCACUGCUUUGGGUUGUUUUAUUAUUUGUUUAUUUAUUUUGGUAUUGGGGAUUGAACCCAGGGGCACUUAACCACUGAGACACAUCUCCAGCCCCUUUUAAAGAAAAUGAUUUUUUUAGUUGUAGAUGGACAGAAUAUCUUCAUUUAUUUAUUUUUAUAUGAUGCUGAGGAUUGAACCCAGGGCCUCAUGUGUUGGAGGCAAGCGCUCUACCACUGAGCCACAACCCCAGCUGCCAGCCCUUUUUUAUAGUUUAUUUAGAGACAGGUCUCACUGAGUUUCUUAGGACCUCCCUAAAUUGCUGAGGCUGACCUUGAACUCAGGAUCUUCUUGCCUCAAUUUCCCAAGCUGUUGGGAUUACAGGUACAUCCAGCUGGGGUUUAUAUUUAUACCCAGCUCCUCUAGUUUGCAUGCCACCUGCACCCCAGCUUAACUAUGUGACCUCAGACAAGUCACUGGACAUGGCCGUUCAGUUUCCUCACCUCUAAAAUGUGGCUCUUAGGCUUCUUUUUUUUAGUUGUAGUUGGAAAUGACACAUUUAUUUUGUUUACUUAUUUUCAUAUGGUGCUGAGGAUUGAACCCAGGACCUCACAUGUUCUAGGCAGGCGCUCUACUGCUGAGCCACAAC
RNAcentral lists this long non-coding RNA (1012 nucleotides) under Marmota monax (woodchuck). Lineage: Eukaryota; Metazoa; Chordata; Mammalia; Rodentia; Sciuridae. The record is from RNAcentral.